CUGGUUGAUCCUGCCAGUAGUCAUAUGCUUGUCUCAAAGAUUAAGCCAUGCAAGUCUAAGUAUAAGCACUUAUACUGUUAAACUGCGGAAAGCUCAUUAUAUCAGUUAUAGUUUAUUUGAUGGUAAACCCACUACAUGGAUAACCGUAGUAAUUCUAGAGCUAAUACAUGCCUUGAAGCGGUAACUUCGGAAGCCGUGGACUUAUUAGAUCAAGAGCUGACCCUUUUCGGAGGAACAAGCUGAAUCAUAGUAAUUUCGCUAAUCGCAGUGGUUUUGUGCCGGCGAUGGGUCAUUCAAAUUUCUGCCCUAUCAGCUGUGAUGUUAGUGUAGUGGACUAACAUGGCAUAAACGGGUGACGGAGGAUUAGGGUCUGAUUCCGGAGAGGGAGCCUGAGAAAUGGCUACCACUUCCAAGGAAGGCAGCAGGCGCGUAAAUUACCCAAUCCCGAUACGGGGAGGUAGUGACAAGAAAUAGCAAUACCGGAUCUUUUAAGAUCUGGUAAUUGGAAUGAGUACAAUCUAAAAUCCUUAACUAGGACCCAUUGGAGGGCAAGUCUGG
Molecule: ribosomal RNA, 558 nt
Filed under: uncultured Cercozoa
Lineage: Eukaryota; Cercozoa
Description: SSU rRNA
Rfam family: Eukaryotic small subunit ribosomal RNA
Source: RNAcentral